This is a long non-coding RNA of Alligator mississippiensis (American alligator), 377 nucleotides long. RefSeq lists it as uncharacterized. The transcript has 2 exons. Lineage: Eukaryota; Metazoa; Chordata; Crocodylia; Alligatoridae. The record is from RefSeq and is a predicted model, not a curated record.
UUCAGUGGAAAAUGUGUGGGAAAUCCAGUUAGGAGAAAACUCAACUGCAACUUUCAUUGCCCAAAUUAGAUCUCUAUUUGUUUUUUUUUAUUUAGGUUUCUAAAUAUAAGUGACCCAACAUUCAGAAGUUCUGAGUAAGCAGUUUUCCAAAGGAAGUCAGCAGUGGCUGCAAUGAAAAUUAGGUCACAUAUUUAGGUAAUUCACUCCCAUCGUCAAGGUCAUUCUUACUGAGAACCACAGAGGGAAUCUCAUCAAUUGUACAUCUUAAUUCUUCAAGAAGCCGCUUUAAAUCUCUCAGUGGAUCCUCCUUCAAAAUGCCUGGUUUGUGCGGCAUCUGGAUUAAAAAUGUUAAUUUACAAAAUAAAUAUGAAAAAUGG